UUCAUGAGGCUUGCAUAACUAAUUGGUUAUGGAUCAGAUAUAGAAAGAAGUCCUGUCAACAGUGCUUCACUCAGCAUGCUACCUUGGCCUAAGCCCGCAGUUUGGCCUUUAGUUCCACCUGAUGCUUCAUCUGAGGUGUUUGAGAAGGAAAAGAUGAUUCUUCAAACAACACCAAGGGUUAAGCACUUUGGUAUUCAGAGGAAGCCAUUACCUCUUGAACCAUCUUUACUUCUGCGUGAAGCUAAUCGCCAAAGGGCUUCUCUUUCUGCUGGGAAUGUGUUUGAAUUAUUUGAUGGUCGCUCAGCUUUUAUUGAUGGCUUAGGUUCAGAUGCAUCUCCGAGGAAGCCCCCUUCAGCUAAAGUAAAUACUGUUUCCAUGUCAAGAACUAAUUCUUUACCCGGAAACUUUGAAAGCUGCAUCGAUCGACCUAUGAGACUUGCAGAGAUAUGUGUUAAUGCUGAGCAUGCUCUGCAGAAUGGUGGACCAGCAUCAGUGAUGAUUUUAUGAGUUAUGAGAAGCCAACAAGACCCAUUCUAAAGGUGUUUAAACCAAGGUCUCUGGUCGAUCUUGCUGCAUCUGUUUCAUCUGCUUUGCUUAUUAAUGAACCUCAAUGGGAUGGAAUGUUUGCCUUGUUGAUGCAUACGACAAAGAGAGAUUUGCAGAGGCUAAAAAGGAGCUGGAUGCCCUCCUCUCAGACGAUUCACUUGCAAAUGUCCCGUUUCUCAUACUUGGGAACAAGAUUGACAUACCCUAUGCUGUCUCAGAGGAUGAGUUGAGAUAUUACUUGGGUUUGACUGGUGUUACUACCGAUAAGGGUAAUGUUGACCUCGCUGACUCAAAUGUCCGUCCUAUUGAGGUCUUCAUGUGCAGUAUCGUGCGCAAGAUGGGAUAUGGUGAUGGCUUUAAGUGGCUUUCCCAAUACAUUAAGUAGGAGAAUCAGAGAAUGGUUUAAGAAGAAAGCGAAUGUGCAAAGCCAUCUAAGGGUAACUUUCAUGCCACUGCUGCAUGAAUGGAUAUAUUGGGAAUGUAAAGUUUAAUAUGUAGCUUUUACCUUGUUAUCUUGCAGACAGUCUUGCUAUUUUUUUGGUAGGGAAGGUUAAGUUGAUUCUGUUCCCUCUCUGUGUCUAUCUCUCUUUGUACUUGACACAAUUGUAAAGAAAUAAAGUUGUGGGGAAAUGUU
Camellia sinensis is the source of this 1180-nucleotide non-coding RNA. The record is from RefSeq and is a predicted model, not a curated record. NCBI's taxonomy places the organism in Eukaryota, Viridiplantae, Streptophyta, Magnoliopsida, Ericales, Theaceae.